GAUCAUGGCUCAGGAUGAACGCUGGCGGCGUGCUUAACACAUGCAAGUCGAGCGAAGUUGUGUUAACGGAGGGCUUCGGCCUAAAGAUGAUACAACUUAGCGGCGGACGGGUGAGUAACGUGUGGGUAACCUGCCAUAUACAGGGGAAUAAUCACUGGAAACGGUGACUAAUACCGCAUGUCACCGCGGGAGGGCAUCCUCCUGCGGGAAAAGGAGCAAUCCGGUAUAUGAUGGACCCGCAU
Molecule: ribosomal RNA, 242 nt
Filed under: uncultured bacterium
Lineage: Bacteria
Description: partial 16S ribosomal RNA
Rfam family: Bacterial small subunit ribosomal RNA
Source: RNAcentral